AAGUCGUAACAAGGUUUCCGUAGGUGAACCUGCGGAAGGAUCAUUACAAAUCCAUCACGUCUCCUUUAUACCGAGACCACGUUGAAAUGUUCCCCAAUAGAGGUCAUGCUAGGCAUGCGCAUUGUUGCAAAACGGCCGUGUCUGCUGGCAUCUAUUGGGCUGUUAAACUAGUGUUAUCUUUGUUGCUCAAUUGUAUGACUGUCUACAUCAUUCUUUGAUGAAGGCUAAAAAACUUGUACAACUUAUAACAAUGGAUCUCUAGGCUCUU
Molecule: unclassified non-coding RNA, 268 nt
Filed under: fungal sp.
Lineage: Eukaryota; Fungi
Description: partial internal transcribed spacer region
Rfam family: Eukaryotic small subunit ribosomal RNA (bases 1-46)
Source: RNAcentral